Small nucleolar RNA from Polyodon spathula (Mississippi paddlefish), 134 nucleotides. RefSeq annotates it as small nucleolar RNA SNORA23. NCBI's taxonomy places the organism in Eukaryota, Metazoa, Chordata, Actinopteri, Acipenseriformes, Polyodontidae. The record is from RefSeq and is a predicted model, not a curated record. The transcript has a single exon.
UAAGAACAGUUUGCAGUCUGACAGCAGCGCUCACACAAUGCCAGUAGCCAAAAAAAACCUGAGGUCAUAGUACUGGUCUAGUGAAGUCUCUGUGACAAUCUACCACUCACCAGCCUCCAAAUUCUCGGACAGAU